Molecule: non-coding RNA, 28 nt
Filed under: Rattus norvegicus (Norway rat)
Lineage: Eukaryota; Metazoa; Chordata; Mammalia; Rodentia; Muridae
Source: RNAcentral
UCCAGGUAUCUUGCCGGAAGAUGUCUGA